Molecule: long non-coding RNA, 419 nt
Organism: Hemicordylus capensis (graceful crag lizard)
Lineage: Eukaryota; Metazoa; Chordata; Lepidosauria; Squamata; Cordylidae
Exons: 3
Source: RefSeq, a predicted model, not a curated record
GGAAAAUGAGGGUAAAGAAGGUACAUGGUUCAAGCACUCCAGUGUAAUGUAUAUACAACAAAUGCUAUAUUGCCCUCUAGCAAGAAUCCAGUUGAGCAAAACACAGAGCAGAUGCCAGCUGGAACAGAGUGUCCUGACGUCCCCUUUGCAAAUGGAGAGGGGUUUUGGGUGGUGGCCGGAGGAGAAAUCUCAAAUAAACCACUCAAUUGCAGGAAGUCAAUAAUUUUUAUCCAAUGAGGCAUGAUGAGGGGUCGGUGCCAACCUGCUACCAUUCAAGCAGAUUGGCGAAAAAUUGACCAUGCAGAAAACGGGGAGUGCUCUUGUUACAGAUGGAAUAAAGAUCUGUCCUGCCUGGUGCUAACUUUGGCCUAGCGCUAGUAGUUCUCAGGUUCCAAUUAAAUGAUGAAAUUAAAUGCCAA